UACGGAGGGUGCAAGCGUUAAUCGGAAUUACUGGGCGUAAAGCGCGCGUAGGCGGUGAUUUAAGUCGGAUGUGAAAGCCCUGGGCUCAACCUGGGAACUGCAUUCGAUACUGGGUCACUAGAGUACGAGAGAGGGAGGUAGAAUUCCACGUGUAGCGGUGAAAUGCGUAGAUAUGUGGAGGAAUACCAGUGGCGAAGGCGGCCUCCUGGCUCGAUACUGACGCUGAGGUGCGAAAGCGUGGGGAGCAAACAGG
This 253-nucleotide ribosomal RNA is filed under the name uncultured bacterium. RNAcentral's name for it is "partial 16S ribosomal RNA". It matches the Rfam family "Bacterial small subunit ribosomal RNA", at positions 524 to 776 of the family's 1533-position model. The record is from RNAcentral.